AGAGUUUGAUCCUGGCUCAGGAUGAACGCUAGCGGGAGGCUUAACACAUGCAAGUCGUGGGGCAGCAYKRKGUAGCAAUACWYWGRUGGCGACCGGCGCACGGGUGAGUAACGCGUAUGCAACCUACCCAGUACAGGGGGAUAGCCCGGAGAAAUUCGGAUUAAUACCCCAUAAUGAUAUWRAGAGGCAUCUUUUUAUAUUUAAAGCUUCGGCGGUACUGGAUGGGCAUGCGUAAGAUUAGCUAGUUGGUAGGGUAACGGCCUACCAAGGCUCCGAUCUUUAGGGGUCCUGAGAGGGUGAUCCCCCACACUGGUACUGAGACACGGACCAGACUCCUACGGGAGGCAGCAGUGAGGAAUAUUGGUCAAUGGGCGCAAGCCUGAACCAGCCAUCCCGCGUGAAGGAAGAAGGCGCUAUGCGUUGUAAACUUCUUUUCCGGAGGAAUAAAAUCUUGUACGYGUACARGACUGAAGGUACUCCGGGAAUAAGCAUCGGCUAACUCCGUGCCAGCAGCCGCGGUAAUACGGAGGAUGCAAGCGUUAUCCGGAUUUAUUGGGUUUAAAGGGUGCGUAGGCGGAUUAAUAAGUCAGCGGUGAAAACCUUCAGCUUAACUGGAGACUUGCCAUUGAUACUGUUAGUCUUGAGUAUGGUUAAGGUAGGCGGAAUGUGUAAUGUAGCGGUGAAAUGCUUAGAUAUUACACAGAACACCAAUUGCGAAGGCAGCUUACUGAGCCAUAACUGACGCUGAUGCACGAAAGCGUGGGGAGCGAACAGGAUUAGAUACCCUGGUAGUCC
This 795-nucleotide ribosomal RNA is filed under the name uncultured bacterium. Its description in RNAcentral is "bacterial SSU rRNA". It matches the Rfam family "Bacterial small subunit ribosomal RNA", at positions 8 to 796 of the family's 1533-position model. The record is from RNAcentral.